UAGUAUGUCUGUAUGAUAAGUCGAGUUACACUGUACCUUAAUUGGUACAUGUGACAAUAAACUGACCUUUGAACCUUUGAAUUUUCACUGCAGAUGCUGGAAGCCUGAAAUGAAAAUGAAACAUACCAGAUUUGGCACAAUGGCGCAGCGGUUGAGUUGCUGCCUUACAGCGCACGAGACCCGGGUUCGAUUCUGACUAUGGGUGCUGUCUGUACGGAGUUGGCAUUUGUCUGCCAUGAGAAGUGGACACCUGAAUGGCUCGAUUGUAAUCAUGUAUUGUCUUUCUGCUGACUGGAUAGUACGCAACAAAAGCUUUUCACUGUACCUCGGUACACGUGGCAACAAACUAAACUGAACUGAAAACUGCAAGAAAUUGCAGUGUUGUAGAUGUAGCCCAGUCUAUCGCACUGACCAGACUUCCCACCAUUGAUUCCAUCUUCACUUCAGUCUGCCUCAGGAAAGCAGCAAAUAUAAUCAAAAACUUGUCCCAUAUCAGUUAUUCCUUUCUCUCUGCUCUCGUCCGAAUGGUCUCCUCCUGCACCUAUUUUCUAUCUUUCUAUAGAGUUAGAGCUCUAGGGGCUAGUGGAAUCAAGGGAUAUGGGGAGAAGGCAGGCACGUUUUAUUGAUUGGGGACGAUCAGCUAUGAUCAUAAUGGCGGUGCUGGCUCGAAGGGCCGAAUGGCCUCCUCCUUCACCUAUUUUCUAUGUUUCUAUAUGUUUCUAUGUACAGAAGCUUGAAAGUGUGCACCAUCAGACUCAGGUGCAGACUCAGCUACAGUGCACUACAAUGCCGAGAACUAUAUUCUGCACUCUGUAUCUUCCUCUUUGCUCUGUCUAUUGUACUUGAGAUAGACUUGAUUGAAUUGAUAUAUAUCAUGGAUAGCAUGCAAAACAAAACAAUGAUGGUCAUUACUGCAUUUUGUAACUGCUCAAAACCAUCUGUUGUAAAGCGCCCACACGACUGACACUCUUCCAGCAACGGUGCACCAUACCUGCAGGAUGCACCAUCUCUAAAGUGCCCUGCAGUUACACAUCAAAGCUACCCGAAUGCCAUCUCCCAAACCAAUGCCCUCUGCCACCAAGGGCAAAGGAAGUCAGGCCCAGGAGAACACCACUAUCUGCAGGUUUCCCACCAUGGAGGCUUCUUCAUCAUCACUGACACCAAUUCCUGGAACUCCCUACCCAACAGUGCCGUGGAGCAAGUAUUGUAUCACUAGAAGGACUGCAACAGUUCAAGGCAGCUCAUCGCCACCUUCUCAACGGCAAUACGGAAUGUGCAGUAGAUGGUGGCCUUGGCUUCAAGCUGAGAUUCUUAAAACUUAAUAAAGAGCUCUCUGUUGCAAUA
Molecule: long non-coding RNA, 1344 nt
Organism: Leucoraja erinaceus (little skate)
Lineage: Eukaryota; Metazoa; Chordata; Chondrichthyes; Rajiformes; Rajidae
Exons: 2
Source: RefSeq, a predicted model, not a curated record